GUGCCAGCCGCCGCGGUAAUACCGGCAGCCCAAGUGAUGGCCGCUGUUAUUGGGCCUAAAGCGUCCGUAGCUGGCCGCACAAGUCCGUCGGGAAAUCCGCCCGCUCAACGGGCGGCCGUCCGGCGGAACCUGUGUGGCUUGGGACCGGGAGGCCUGAGGGGUACGAUCGGGGUAGGAGUGAAAUCCUGUAAUCCCGCUCGGACCGCCGAUGGCGAAAGCACGUUGGGAAGACGAAUCCGACAGUGAGGGACGAAAGCUAGGGUCUCGAACCGGAUUAGAUACCCUUGUAGUCC
RNAcentral lists this ribosomal RNA (293 nucleotides) under uncultured bacterium. RNAcentral's name for it is "partial 16S ribosomal RNA". It matches the Rfam family "Archaeal small subunit ribosomal RNA", at positions 455 to 747 of the family's 1478-position model. The record is from RNAcentral.